GACGAACGCUGGCGGCGUGCUUAACACAUGCAAGUCGAACGGAAAGGCCCUGCUUUUGUGGGGUGCUCGAGUGGCGAACGGGUGAGUAACACGUGAGUAACCUGCCCUUGACUUUGGGAUAACUUCAGGAAACUGGGGCUAAUACCGGAUAGGAGCUCCUGCUGCAUGGUGGGGGUUGGAAAGUUUCGGCGGUUGGGGAUGGACUCGCGGCUUAUCAGCUUGUUGGUGGGGUAGUGGCUUACCAAGGCUUUGACGGGUAGCCGGCCUGGGAGGGUGACCGGCGACAGUGGGACUGAGAGACGGCCCAGACGGCUACGGGAGGCAGCAGUGGGGAGUAUGGCACAAUGGGCGGAAGCCUGAUGCAGCAACGCCGCGUGCGGGAUGACGGCCUUCGGGUUGUAAACCGCUUUCGCCUGUGACGAAGCGUGAGUGACGGUAAUGGGUAAAGAAGCACCGGCUAACUACGUG
RNAcentral lists this ribosomal RNA (468 nucleotides) under uncultured bacterium. RNAcentral's name for it is "partial 16S ribosomal RNA". It matches the Rfam family "Bacterial small subunit ribosomal RNA", at positions 28 to 507 of the family's 1533-position model. The record is from RNAcentral.